RNAcentral lists this long non-coding RNA (2269 nucleotides) under Marmota monax (woodchuck). Lineage: Eukaryota; Metazoa; Chordata; Mammalia; Rodentia; Sciuridae. The record is from RNAcentral.
GUCUAGGACAGGAGUCUCCAAGUGUCCCUCUUGUGACCACUGGGCGUCGGUGCGACCUCUUACCACAGGCCCCUACCACACAGAGGGGUCCAGGCCUGUGCUCACGAGAAGGCACACGAGAAGCCCUGCGGGUUGGUCUGCCCAGUGUGAGGAGGAGCCGUGGCUGGCUUCCAGGUCUGUGUCCAGGCAGCCCCACGAGGGGUGCCCAGGGGUCUCCAAGGAAAACAGUGCCUCCCCAGACAGCCUCAGAUGGGACAGGGCCCCAGAACCCUGCUGGAGGACCUCGGACCAACAAGGACCUGCAUCUGCUUCUAGGCAGCAGCUGCCCUCCGAUCGGGGAAUCUGCACACAGGUGAUGAACUUCAGUGUCCACCACCAAAGCCAGCAGCAGAGCACGCCUGGGACCCCAGCUGACCACAGCAGGUCCCCGCAGUUCCCUACCAAGCCCCAUGGGGACCGCUCAGUGUCCCCAGCCUCAGUUCCCUGCGCGUGGAGAGGGGCUGCAGACCCCCGCCGCUCAGGAACUUUAAGAGACGGUGCACACAGGGCCGGGCUCUAGGCCUGGCUGAAACCCGAGCUCGCUGUGUCUGUGAACUGACCCCUGAAGCCCCAGCGCCCCUGCCCUCUUGAGGAGAGUGGGGAUUCCCACACAUGUCCUCCCUUCGGGCAGGCGAGACCAGCCUGGGACACGCACCACCUCAGGGGACAGACCCACAAAAUGAACCUCUGGGUGGGGCUGGGGACACCUGCAUCAGUGGGGCCCUGGACAAUAGGGAGACACCAAGGCCAGGGAUUGGUGUGGCUCCGCCCUCCUCGUUCCUGAGACUCUGCAGCCCAUCGGGAGGCCCUCUCUCUUGGGGACGGCAGGGCCCGGGUGAACCCCUAGAAGAGUGGUGUCCAGAUGGGAGGGGCUCCAGCUGCACACCUCUGUCCCACCCCCCACUGAGGACAGCAGCAGUAGAGCUGUCAUCUAUGCCACAGCUCUGGCCAAAGCAGUGCUCAGCCAGGAAGCUGGACUCCCCGUGACAACUCGGAGGUUGGAGGUCAGAGCCUGGCAGCCACGCAGGGGACUCAGCAGUGGCGUGGUGCUGUGGGGGGUGGGGGCCAGUGAGUGUCCCCAACCUGCUCCUGAAUUCAACAAAAUAUGGCAGAACAUCCAGGGUGUCCCUCGCGGGGUGGCAGGCUCCCCUGGGAGACUGAGCCACGGUGGUGGAGAUCCCAGACAGGAGGGGCCUCCCAGCUCUUGCCUGUCCCCUCCCUGGCCCAUGCCAUCUCCUGCCCAGCCAGGACUCCACUUGCCCUUCCCUCGAGGAGGCAGGAACCCUGGCCAGGAGGGCCAGCCCCAGCCAGGGCAUGAGCCAGCUCUGACCCUGUGCCCUCGUCCCCAGCCAGCCCUGCCUCCCAGGGCUCAGCCCACAGGCAGCCGUGGAGAUGGGGUCUGGGCCCAGGCAGGGCUUCUGGUCCACAAAGGUCCACACUGUCUACUCAGGGGGGCACUGAUCGGUGACAACCAGAAUAUACCCAUGAGCCCAGGGGCAGAAGUGGCAGACCCUCGCAGGGGAGAGCUGGCCGGGCCAGAGGAGGACGGCUGCUGCUGAGGGAAAAGGUCUUGGGAAAGGGCCAGCCCCCAAGGGGACAGGGACAGCAAAUGGCCCGGGAGAGAGCUGCCUAGCUCAGUUGGGCAGCUGGCCCAGCACCUCCCUCCCACAGGCACUCAGCUCAAGCCCAUCUCGGGUUCCGCCGCAGCCCUGAUGCCUGGCACCCACUUCCCACGGCCAGGAAGACGGUGCUGGGAAAAUGUGGGGCAGGCAGGCUGGGGACACAACUUCUCCAAGAGGCAGUGCCCAUCUGUGGAGCAGAAUCCUGGGGUGUGGGGACAGCAGGGAGGACCCCACACCCCAGGGCAGGCAGGUCGUGAGAGGGCUCAGGUCAGGAGGGUGAGCGCUGACCCACAGCACACACCUGCGGACCUUGGGGAGCACAAAAGGAAGAGACGGGGUUCUAGGUGUCCUCAGAGGGCGCGACCUGAGAGCCCCUCCAGAGGGUCACUGUGCCGAGAGCCAGGAGGAAGAGAGGAGCAGUCCCCGAGGGGCGACGGCACUCUGCUUCAGACGGAAACUAGGUCCAGCUGGAAGAGGACCUGGAUCUGAGGGGACAGGUCCUUGAAAGCCCUGCUCAGCCCAGCAGAGCCCUCCAGGCGCUGCCCGGAAGGAGCAUCGGGCCGCCCCUAGAGGGUGCUGGGCAGGGGACAGCUGCUCCCCAACUCCCC